GGUCUAAUAGCACAGUGGUUAGUGUAGCUCCGUAACUUGGUCUGAAGGGUGCUUGAUAUGGAGAAGAGCUCGGUUCGAGUCCGGGUUAGGCCA
This is a non-coding RNA of Mycena crocata, 93 nucleotides long. Lineage: Eukaryota; Fungi; Basidiomycota; Agaricomycetes; Agaricales; Mycenaceae. The record is from the annotation of a GenBank genome assembly.